AGGUCUGGGCCCAGGAUAGGUGAGAUUAGGUUGAGUCAUGGGUGUACAUGGGCUUGGGUUAACCUAAUCUCCCAUAGAGUUGGUCAAGGGAGUUUUGGGUUUGGGUCACUUGACCCUGUGUUUAUAUAUACAUGCACUGUAUAGGUUUGAUUAAGCCAAGAAAUACGAAAACUCUUUCUCCCAAGUCUCUCUCUCUCUUCUCCCUCUCUCUCCAGUUAUUCUCCAUGCCCCAGGAGCAAGAAACCCUAGGGUUUCUUGCCGCCAGGUCCCAAAAAGGCAGGAAAAGCAAGGGGAGGCGCUAGGCUCCCCCUUUGUGCC
Molecule: long non-coding RNA, 318 nt
Filed under: Elaeis guineensis (African oil palm)
Lineage: Eukaryota; Viridiplantae; Streptophyta; Magnoliopsida; Arecales; Arecaceae
Description: long non-coding RNA (EGUI_LNC050498)
Source: RNAcentral